CGUCUAGGCGGACAGGUAAGUCAGAUGUGAAAACCCCCGGCUCAACCGGGGACCUGCAUUUGAUACUGCCAGUCUUGAGUACGGAAGAGGAAAGCGGAAUUCCUGGUGUAGCGGUGAAAUGCGUAGAUAUCAGGAAGAACACCGGUGGCGAAGGCGGCUUUCUGGUCCGAUACUGACGCUAAAGCGCGAAAGUGUGGGGAGCAAACA
RNAcentral lists this ribosomal RNA (207 nucleotides) under uncultured bacterium. RNAcentral describes it as "partial 16S ribosomal RNA". It matches the Rfam family "Bacterial small subunit ribosomal RNA", at positions 568 to 774 of the family's 1533-position model. The record is from RNAcentral.